UCUUUACUUCUUAACUGUGGGUAAGCCUGGAAGUGUGCCAAACAGAGAUAGGUGCUUCGCACAGAAAGUAGACCCCGCAUUACGGUGUUUGCGAUCUUCACACAAUGACGCCUCAAAAUCUGACGCGCCAUAUGCAGUGCAGCAGGUUGUACUAAUAUCCGCAUCAGGUCUCUAAGGUGAGUAGCCUCUGGUACGUAGAUUCAUGUGAGUAAGGGAAGUCGGCAACUUGGUUCCGUAUCCUUGGGAAAAGGAAUGGCUCUGACGAUUGAG
Molecule: ribosomal RNA, 270 nt
Filed under: Mucochytrium quahogii
Lineage: Eukaryota; Bigyra; Thraustochytrida; Thraustochytriidae
Description: labyrinthulid quahog parasite QPX partial Eukaryotic large subunit ribosomal RNA
Rfam family: Eukaryotic large subunit ribosomal RNA
Source: RNAcentral